This 21-nucleotide unclassified non-coding RNA is filed under the name Mus musculus (house mouse). RNAcentral's name for it is "oocyte_clustered_small_RNA9226". The record is from RNAcentral. Lineage: Eukaryota; Metazoa; Chordata; Mammalia; Rodentia; Muridae.
GUGCGUCUGGGCACCUCAGAA